AAGCGUAGCUAAUACCGCAUACGCCCUACGGGGGAAAGCAGGGGAUCGCAAGACCUUGCACUAUUGGAGCGGCCGAUAUCGGAUUAGCUAGUUGGUGGGGUAACGGCUCACCAAGGCGACGAUCCGUAGCUGGUUUGAGAGGACGACCAGCCACACUGGGACUGAGACACGGCCCAGACUCCUACGGGAGGCAGCAGUGGGGAAUUUUGGACAAUGGGGGAAACCCUGAUCCAGCCAUCCCGCGUGUGCGAUGAAGGCCUUCGGGUUGUAAAGCACUUUUGGCAGGAAAGAAACGUCAUGGGCUAAUACCCCGUGAAACUGACGGUACCUGCAGAAUAAGCACCGGCUAACUACGUGCCAGCAGCCGCGGUAAUACGUAGGGUGCAAGCGUUAAUCGGAAUUACUGGGCGUAAAGCGUGCGCAGGCGGUUCGGAAAGAAAGAUGUGAAAUCCCAGAGCUUAACUUUGGAACUGCAUUUUUAACUACCGAGCUAGAGUGUGUCAGAGGGAGGUGGAAUUCCGCGUGUAGCAGUGAAAUGCGUAGAUAUGCGGAGGAACACCGAUGGCGAAGGCAGCCUCCUGGGAUAACACUGACGCUCAUGCACGAAAGCGUGGGGAGCAAACAGGAUUAGAUAUCCUGGUAGUCCACGCCCUAAACGAUGUCAACUAGCUGUUGGGGCCUUCGGGCCUUGGUA
RNAcentral lists this ribosomal RNA (694 nucleotides) under uncultured Alcaligenaceae bacterium. RNAcentral's name for it is "bacterial SSU rRNA". It matches the Rfam family "Bacterial small subunit ribosomal RNA", at positions 155 to 845 of the family's 1533-position model. The record is from RNAcentral. Lineage: Bacteria; Pseudomonadati; Pseudomonadota; Betaproteobacteria; Burkholderiales; Alcaligenaceae.